AGUCUUAUAGUCUAAGAAGGACUACAGGUUGCAAACUUGUAAGUGGAUUUUUCCUAAGGCUU
This 62-nucleotide transfer RNA is filed under the name Cyphonistes vallatus. RNAcentral describes it as "tRNA-Cys". The record is from RNAcentral. Lineage: Eukaryota; Metazoa; Arthropoda; Insecta; Coleoptera; Scarabaeidae.